RNAcentral lists this long non-coding RNA (209 nucleotides) under Hordeum vulgare. RNAcentral describes it as "long non-coding RNA (HVUL_LNC016575)". The record is from RNAcentral. Lineage: Eukaryota; Viridiplantae; Streptophyta; Magnoliopsida; Poales; Poaceae.
CAUAGGUCCUAACACCAUUGAGAAACAUAUCUACCAUAUCAUAAACUAGUGGCUCAAGAUAGACAUCAAUAUCACUACCAGGGGAAUUUCGGCCAGGAAUCAACAAUGAUAGGAUGAAAUUUGAUUGCUUCAUAAUCAUCCAGGGUGGAAAGUUAUAAGGAAUCAAUAAUACUGGCCAAAUGCUAUAGUUGACAUUCAUGGAUCUAAAC